CGGGAGGCUAAUCCUUGUGCGUGGCCUUCACUCUCCUCUGCCUUCCAGCCUGACGCUGUCCCUCCCCACUCCCCAAGACUGAUCCUCCCAUGGGGCUGCAAUCCCAGCUCUGAGGACAUGAGACGACCCCCUUUUCCCAUGGCCCUCCCACAGGAACGAGGGUCCCACAAUACUAUUCAAUAAAGAGUUCUGCUCAGUCCUA
Trichosurus vulpecula (common brushtail) is the source of this 202-nucleotide long non-coding RNA. RefSeq lists it as uncharacterized. NCBI's taxonomy places the organism in Eukaryota, Metazoa, Chordata, Mammalia, Diprotodontia, Phalangeridae. The transcript is spliced from 2 exons. The record is from RefSeq and is a predicted model, not a curated record.